Molecule: small nucleolar RNA, 131 nt
Organism: Labeo rohita (rohu)
Lineage: Eukaryota; Metazoa; Chordata; Actinopteri; Cypriniformes; Cyprinidae
Product: small nucleolar RNA SNORA75
Exons: 1
Source: RefSeq, a predicted model, not a curated record
UGCUUCUCAUGAGCUCCUCUCUGUCAAUCCAGUGACGGUGUAUGGAUUCGCACGAGAAGUAGAUUAAAAUUCGCAGUAAAACCGGUGUUUCCAUUAUAUUGGAACAUACCCAUGUCUGAUGUGAGACACUU